This 556-nucleotide ribosomal RNA is filed under the name uncultured Fusarium. Its description in RNAcentral is "eukaryotic LSU rRNA". The stretch from base 170 to 323 matches the Rfam family "5.8S ribosomal RNA". The record is from RNAcentral. Lineage: Eukaryota; Fungi; Ascomycota; Sordariomycetes; Hypocreales; Nectriaceae.
GACAGCGGAGGGAUCAUUACCGAGUUAUACAACUCAUCAACCCUGUGAACAUACCUAAAACGUUGCUUCGGCGGGAACAGACGGCCCUGUAACAACGGGCCGCCCCCGCCAGAGGACCCCUAACUCUGUUUUUAUAAUGUUUUUCUGAGUAAACAAGCAAAUAAAUUAAAACUUUCAACAACGGAUCUCUUGGCUCUGGCAUCGAUGAAGAACGCAGCGAAAUGCGAUAAGUAAUGUGAAUUGCAGAAUUCAGUGAAUCAUCGAAUCUUUGAACGCACAUUGCGCCCGCCAGUAUUCUGGCGGGCAUGCCUGUUCGAGCGUCAUUACAACCCUCAGGCCCCCGGGCCUGGCGUUGGGGAUCGGCGGAAGCCCCCUGUGGGCACACGCCGUCCCUCAAAUACAGUGGCGGUCCCGCCGCAGCUUCCAUUGCGUAGUAGCUAACACCUCGCAACUGGAGAGCGGCGCGGCCAUGCCGUAAAACACCCAACUUCUGAAUGUUGACCUCGAAUCAGGUAGGAAUACCCGCUGAACUUAAGCAUAUCAAUAAGCGGAGGAA